AACGCGAAGAACCUUACCUAGCCUUGACAUGCAUUGGACCGACGCUGAAAGGCGUCUUUCCCGCAAGGGACCGGUGCACAGGUGCUGCAUGGCUGUCGUCAGCUCGUGUCGUGAGAUGUUGCGUUAAGUCGCGCAACGAGCGCAACCCCUGUCCUUAGUUGCCACCAUUAAGUUGGGCACUCUAGGGAGACAAACCCUCUUUGAGGGUGGGAAGGUGGGGAUGACGUCAAGUCAGGAUGGCCCUUACGCCCAGGGCUGCACACGUACUACAAUGCUCAGUACAGAACGACCCGAAAUCGCGAGGUGGAGGAAAUCACUAAAACUGAGCCCAGUUCGGAUUGUAGGCUGCAACUCGCCUACAUGAAGCCGGAAUCGCUAGUAAUGGCGUAUCAGCUACGACGCCGUGAAUACGUUCCCGGGCCUUGUACACACCGGAGUA
This 439-nucleotide ribosomal RNA is filed under the name uncultured bacterium. RNAcentral describes it as "bacterial SSU rRNA". It matches the Rfam family "Bacterial small subunit ribosomal RNA", at positions 958 to 1398 of the family's 1533-position model. The record is from RNAcentral.